UACAGAGGGGGGCAAGCGUUAUUCGGAAUUAUUGGGCGUAAAGGGCGCGUAGGCGGCCGUGCAAGUGGAAGGUGAAAUCCCUCGGCUCAACCGAGGAACUGCCUUUCAAACUGCAUGGCUUGAGUCCGGGAGAGGUGAGUGGAAUUCCCAGUGUAGCGGUGAAAUGCGUAGAUAUUGGGAGGAACACCAGUGGCGAAGGCGGCUCACUGGACCGGAACUGACGCUGAGGCGCGAAAGCGUGGGGAGCAAACGGG
This 254-nucleotide ribosomal RNA is filed under the name uncultured bacterium. RNAcentral describes it as "partial 16S ribosomal RNA". It matches the Rfam family "Bacterial small subunit ribosomal RNA", at positions 524 to 776 of the family's 1533-position model. The record is from RNAcentral.